RNAcentral lists this ribosomal RNA (1217 nucleotides) under Flavobacterium hercynium. Its description in RNAcentral is "bacterial SSU rRNA". It matches the Rfam family "Bacterial small subunit ribosomal RNA", at positions 91 to 1315 of the family's 1533-position model. The record is from RNAcentral. Lineage: Bacteria; Pseudomonadati; Bacteroidota; Flavobacteriia; Flavobacteriales; Flavobacteriaceae.
GAGACCGGCGCACGGGUGCGUAACGCGUAUGCAAUCUACCUUUUACAGAGGGAUAGCCCAGAGAAAUUUGGAUUAAUACCUCAUAGUAUUGUGAAGUGGCAUCACUUUAUAAUUAAAGUCACAACGGUAAAAGAUGAGCAUGCGUCCCAUUAGCUAGUUGGUAAGGUAACGGCUUACCAAGGCUACGAUGGGUAGGGGUCCUGAGAGGGAGAUCCCCCACACUGGUACUGAGACACGGACCAGACUCCUACGGGAGGCAGCAGUGAGGAAUAUUGGACAAUGGGCGCAAGCCUGAUCCAGCCAUGCCGCGUGCAGGAUGACGGUCCUAUGGAUUGUAAACUGCUUUUAUACGAGAAGAAACACUACUUCGUGAAGUAGCUUGACGGUAUCGUAAGAAUAAGGAUCGGCUAACUCCGUGCCAGCAGCCGCGGUAAUACGGAGGAUCCAAGCGUUAUCCGGAAUCAUUGGGUUUAAAGGGUCCGUAGGCGGUUUAGUAAGUCAGUGGUGAAAGCCCAUCGCUCAACGGUGGAACGGCCAUUGAUACUGCUGAACUUGAAUUAUUAGGAAGUAACUAGAAUAUGUAGUGUAGCGGUGAAAUGCUUAGAGAUUACAUGGAAUACCAAUUGCGAAGGCAGGUUACUACUAAUUGAUUGACGCUGAUGGACGAAAGCGUGGGUAGCGAACAGGAUUAGAUACCCUGGUAGUCCACGCCGUAAACGAUGGAUACUAGCUGUUGGAAGCAAUUUCAGUGGCUAAGCGAAAGUGAUAAGUAUCCCACCUGGGGAGUACGUUCGCAAGAAUGAAACUCAAAGGAAUUGACGGGGGCCCGCACAAGCGGUGGAGCAUGUGGUUUAAUUCGAUGAUACGCGAGGAACCUUACCAAGGCUUAAAUGUAGUUUGACCGAUUUGGAAACAGAUUUUUCGCAAGACAAAUUACAAGGUGCUGCAUGGUUGUCGUCAGCUCGUGCCGUGAGGUGUCAGGUUAAGUCCUAUAACGAGCGCAACCCCUGUUGUUAGUUGCCAGCGAGUCAUGUCGGGAACUCUAACAAGACUGCCAGUGCAAACUGUGAGGAAGGUGGGGAUGACGUCAAAUCAUCACGGCCCUUACGCCUUGGGCUACACACGUGCUACAAUGGCCGGUACAGAGAGCAGCCACUGGGCGACCAGGAGCGAAUCUAUAAAACCGGUCACAGUUCGGAUCGGAGUCUGCAACUCGA